This 253-nucleotide ribosomal RNA is filed under the name uncultured bacterium. RNAcentral describes it as "partial 16S ribosomal RNA". It matches the Rfam family "Bacterial small subunit ribosomal RNA", at positions 524 to 776 of the family's 1533-position model. The record is from RNAcentral.
UACGUAGGGACCAAGCGUUGUUCGGAUUUACUGGGCGUAAAGGGCGCGUAGGCGGUCUUCUAAGUCUUGUGUGAAAUCCCUCGGCUCAACUGAGGAACUGCACGGGAUACUGGAAGACUUGAGUUCGGGAGAGGGAAGCGGAAUUCCAGGUGUAGCGGUGAAAUGCGUAGAUAUCUGGAGGAACACCGGUGGCGAAGGCGGCAUCCUGGACCGGCAUUGACGCUGAGGCGCGAAAGCCAGGGGAGCAAACGGG